Molecule: ribosomal RNA, 491 nt
Filed under: uncultured bacterium
Lineage: Bacteria
Description: partial 16S ribosomal RNA
Rfam family: Bacterial small subunit ribosomal RNA
Source: RNAcentral
GAUGAACGCUGGCUACAGGCUUAACACAUGCAAGUCGAGGGGAAACGACGGGGAAGCUUGCUUCCCCGGGCGUCGACCGGCGCACGGGUGAGUAACGCAUAUCCAACCUGCCUCUGACUGAGGGAUAACCCGUCGAAAGUCGGCCUAAUACCUCAUGGCAUCGUCUGCGGGCAUCCAACGACGAUUAAAGAUUUCAUCGGUCAGGGAUGGGGAUGCGUCUGAUUAGCUAGUUGGCGGGGUACCGGCCCACCAAGGCGACGAUCAGUAGGGGUUCUGAGAGGAAGGUCCCCCACAUGGGAACUGAGACACGGUCCAAACUCCUACGGGAGGCAGCAGUGAGGAAUAUUGGUCAAUGGGCGAGAGCCUGAACCAGCCAAGUAGCGUGCAGGAUGACGGCCCUAUGGGUUGUAAACUGCUUUUAUGCGGGGAUAAAGUGAGGGACGUGUCCUUCAUUGCAGGUACCGCAUGAAUAAGGACCGGCUAAUUCCGUG